CAUUUUUUUUUAUUUCUUUUAAUCUCUAAAUUAUAGUAGUCGACUUCCUGUGGCUGCGUUUAGGAAUUUGUUUGUUUAUUUUUACUAUUUUCACUCGCAGGGUCCUGCAUAUCCUUGAGCACAGAAACAACAAAAUAUUUUCUCAAUAAAAAAUUUCGAUUUUCUAGAACCGUAUAACAGAUUUUUGUUCGGGAAUCCAUUACUUACAAGAACAAAAAUUUUGUUUCUCAACUGCGGAACUUGAAGGAUAGAACUUUACCUUUUUAAGAGCUUUAUUUGAGAGGAGACUAGAAGUUGUUUCUACAUGUACAAAUAUAAGGAAAGUCCUUCGAUAUAUGCCAGUGAUGAGGUGUAAUGGGAUAUAGAACUGUUCCUGGUUUUCAGCAGCUGCAUUUAAUUACACUUUAGCACUAACGGUAAAUGCUAUGCUAUGUGUGAAAAAAAAAAUAUCAGAAAAAUUUAUCAAAAAACUGUCAAAUCUUCAAUCAAACUAAGCCGAUUCGCGAGAGCGGAGAAUUGAAAAACUUCAAAAAAGCGAGCAAUACAUCAACGGCACAGCGCCAGAAUUAAGCCUCCAAAUGGCUAGACGAGAUUUAUAUUUAUGUGUAUGUAUGUGUAUGUAUUUAUGUAUAAUUUUCCUUAAUUUUUUCCGUAUUAAUUUAUUGUUGGUUCUAUUGGAGCGUGUGCGCUUCUCUGUCGGAUUGUUGAAAGCACGAAAAAUGGUAUUCCGAUUUUUUCUGUUUUGGUGAUCAAUAAAUAAAUAAUUGUUUAUAUUACAUUUACAAACAUGCAUACAU
Molecule: long non-coding RNA, 797 nt
Organism: Ceratitis capitata (Mediterranean fruit fly)
Lineage: Eukaryota; Metazoa; Arthropoda; Insecta; Diptera; Tephritidae
Exons: 3
Source: RefSeq, a predicted model, not a curated record